RNAcentral lists this ribosomal RNA (460 nucleotides) under uncultured bacterium. RNAcentral's name for it is "partial 16S ribosomal RNA". It matches the Rfam family "Bacterial small subunit ribosomal RNA", at positions 338 to 795 of the family's 1533-position model. The record is from RNAcentral.
CCUACGGGUGGCAGCAGUGAGGAAUAUUGGUCAAUGGCCGGAAGGCUGAACCAGCCAUGCCGCGUGAAGGUCAGUGCCCUAUGGGCGUUAAACUUCUUUUGUGCGGGAGCAAUAAUGGUCACGUGUGGCCAGACGAGAGUACCGUACGAAUAAGCAUCGGGUAACUCCGUGCCAGCAGCCGCGGUAAUACGGGGGGUGCCAGCGUUGUUCGGGUUUAUUGGGUUUAAAGGGUGCGUAGGCUGUGAGGUAAGUCAGCGGGGGAAUGCCCCCGCUCAACGGGGUGAAUUGCCAUUGAUACUGGCUUGCUUGAAUGCGGAUGCCGUGGGCGGAAUGUGUGGUGUAGCGGUGAAAUGCAUAGAUAUCACACAGAACACCGAUUGCGAAGGCAUCUCACGAAUCCGCGAUUGACGCUGAUGCACGAAAGCGUGGGUAUCAAACAGGAUUAGAUACCCCAGUAGUC